AACGUACGCUGGCGGCACGCCUAACACAUGCAAGUCGAACGAAGUAGCAAUACUUAGUGGCAGACGGGUGAGUAACAUGUAGGUAUCUGCCCUUUGGCCUGGAAUAACACGAGGAAACUUGUGCUAAUACCGGAUAAGUCUUUACGGAGAAAGCUUUAUGCACCAUUGGAUGAGCCUGCACUUGAUUAGUUUGUUGGUGGGGUAAUGGCCUACCAAGACUGUGAUCAAUAGCUGAUUUGAGAGGAUGAUCAGCCACAUUGGGACUGAGACACGGCCCAAACUCCUACGGGAGGCAGCAGUGGGGAAUCUUGCACAAUGGAGGAAACUCUGAUGCAGCGAUGCCGCGUGAGUGAAGAAGGCCCUUGGGUUGUAAAGCUCUUUCGUCGGGGAAGAAAAUGACUGUACCCGAAUAAGAAGGUCCGGCUAACUUCGUGCCAGCAGCCGCGGUAAUACGAAGGGACCUAGCGUAGUUCGGAAUUACUGGGCUUAAAGAGUUCGUAGGUGGUUGAAAAAGUUAGUGGUGAAAUCCCAGAGCUUAACUCUGGAACCGCCAUUAAAACUUUUCAGCUAGAGUAUGAUAGAGGAAAGCAGAAUUUCUAGUGUAGAGGUGAAAUUCGUAGAUAUUAGAAAGAAUACCAAUUGCGAAGGCAGCUUUCUGGAUCAUUACUGACACUGAGGAACGAAAGCAUGGGUAGCGAAGAGGAUUAGAUACCCUCGUAGUCCAUGCCGUAAACGAUGUGUGUUAGACGUUGGAAAUUUAUUUUCAGUGUCGCAGGGAAACCGAUAAACACACCGCCUGGGGAGUACGACCGCAAGGUUAAAACUCAAAUGAAUUGACGGGGACCCGCACAAGUAGUGGAGCAUGUGGUUUAAUUCGAAGAUACGCGCAGAACCUUACCAACACUUGACAUGUUCGUCGCGACUCUAAGAGAUUAGAGUUUUCGGUUCGGCCGGACGAAACACAGGUGCUGCAUGGCUGUCGUCAGCUCGUGUCGUGAGAUGUUGGGUUAAGUCCCGCAACGAGCGCAACCCUCACUUUUAGUUGCCAUCAUUAAGUUGGGCACUCUGAAAGAACUGCCAGUGAUAAGCUGGAGGAAGGUGGGGAUGACGUCAAGUCCUCAUGGCCCUUACGUGUUGGGCUACACACGUGCUACAAUGGUAUCUACAACAGGAAGCAAGACUGCGAAGUUAAGCAAAUCCCUAAAAGAUACCUCAGUUCGGAUUGCACUCUGCAACUCGAGUGCAUGAAGCUGGAAUUACUAGUAAUCGUGGAUCAGCGUGCCACGGUGAAUGCGUUCCCGGGUCU
Molecule: ribosomal RNA, 1306 nt
Filed under: uncultured bacterium
Lineage: Bacteria
Description: bacterial SSU rRNA
Rfam family: Bacterial small subunit ribosomal RNA
Source: RNAcentral